GGAAUAUUGGGCAAUGGAGGCAACUCUGACCCAGCAACGCCGCGUGAACGAUGAAGGUCUUCGGAUUGUAAAGUUCUGUCGCAGGGGACGAAGUAUGACGGUACCCUGUAAGAAAGCCCCGGCAAACUACGUGCCAGCAGCCGCGGUAAUACGUAGGGGGCUAGCGUUGUCCGGAAUUACUGGGCGUAAAGGGAGUGUAGACGGCUUGGCAAGUUAUAAGUGAAAGCCUGCGGCUCAACCGCAGAACUGCUUAUAAAACUGCCUCGCUAGAGUGCAGGAGAGGUGAGUGGAAUUCCUAGUGUAGCGGUGGAAUGCGUAGAUAUUAGGAGGAACACCAGAGGCGAAGGCGGCUCACUGGACUGUAACUGACGUUGAGGCUCGAAAGCGUGGGGAGCAAACAGGAUUAGAUAUCCUGGUAGUCCACGCCCUAAACGAUGGAUACUAGACGAAGGUGGCUUGCCCAUCUGUGUCGUAGCUAACGCAUUAAGUAUCCCGCCUGUGGAGUACGGCCGCAAGGUUAAAACAUAAAGAAAUUGACGGGUCCCCGCACAAGCAGCGGAGCAUGUGGUUUAAUUCGAUGCAACGCGAAGAACCUUACCAAGACUUGACAUUGCGUGACAGCCUGUGAAAGCAGGCCUCCCUUCGGGGCACAAAAACAGAUGGUGCAUGGUCGUCGUCAGCUCGUGCCGUGAGGUGUUCGGUUAAGUCCGUCAACGAGCGCAACCCUUAUUUCCAGUUGCCAAUAUUAAGUUAGGGACUCUGGAAAGACUGCCGUGGAUAACACGGAGGAAGGUGGGGAUGAUGUCAGAUCAUCAUGCCUCUUACGUCUUGGGCUACACACGUGCUACAAUGGGCGCUACAAAGAGCUGCAGAGCCGUAAGGCCGAGCCAAUCUCAAAAAAGCGUUCUCAGUUCGGAUUGUGGGCUGCAACCCGCCCACAUGAAGUUGGAGUUGCUAGUAAUCCCGGAUCAGCACGCCGGGGUGAAUGCGUUCCCGGGGAUUGUACACACCGCCCGUCAAGCCAUGGGAGCUGGGGGUACUCGAAGUCGGUCACGCCAACCCGCAAGGGAAGCGUCCGCCUAAGGUAAAACCAGUGACUGGGGUUAAGUCGUAACAAGGUAGCCCUACGAGAACGUGGGGCUGGAUCACCUCCUUU
Molecule: ribosomal RNA, 1156 nt
Filed under: Clostridiales bacterium
Lineage: Bacteria; Bacillati; Bacillota; Clostridia; Eubacteriales
Description: bacterial SSU rRNA
Rfam family: Bacterial small subunit ribosomal RNA
Source: RNAcentral